CUGCUGCCUCCCGUAGGAGUCUGGGCCGUGUCUCAGUCCCAGUGUGGGGGGCCUUCCUCUCAGAACCCCUACGCAUCGUCGCCACGGUGGGCCGUCACCCCGCCGUCCAGCUAAUGCGCCGCAUGCCCAUCCGCCACCGGAUCGCUCCUUUGGCCACCGGAGGAUGCCCUCCGGUGGCGUCACGGGGUAUUAGGCCGCGUUUCCGCGGGUUAUCCCCCUGUGGCGGCCAGGUUGCAUACGUGUUACUCACCCGUGCGCCGGUCGCCGGG
This 269-nucleotide ribosomal RNA is filed under the name uncultured bacterium. RNAcentral describes it as "partial 16S ribosomal RNA". The record is from RNAcentral.